Molecule: ribosomal RNA, 253 nt
Filed under: uncultured bacterium
Lineage: Bacteria
Description: partial 16S ribosomal RNA
Rfam family: Bacterial small subunit ribosomal RNA
Source: RNAcentral
UACAUAGGGGGCGAGCGUUAUUCGGAAUUAUUGGGCGUAAAGGGCGCGUAGGCGGCUUUUCAAGUGACGGGUGAAAUCCCUCGGCUUAACCGAGGAACUGCCUGUCAGACUGGAAGGCUUGAGACCGGGAGAGGUGAGUGGAAUUCCCAGUGUAGCGGUGAAAUGCGUAGAUAUUGGGAGGAACACCAGUGGCGAAGGCGGCUCACUGGACCGGAACUGACGCUGAGGCGCGAAAGCGUGGGGAGCAAACAGG